AAUCUCGGAAAACUGAGGAUAAUACCCCAUAGGUCUGGAUGGCUGGAAUGCCUUCAGACUUAAAACUCCGGUGUCCCAGGAUGGGUCUGCGGCCUAUCAGGUCGUAGUGAGUGUAAAGGACUCACUAGCCGACGACGGGUACGGGCCAUGGGAGUGGUAGCCCGGAGAUGGAUUCUGAGACACGAAUCCAGGCCCUACGGGGCGCAGCAGGCGCGAAAACUUCGCAAUGCGCGCAAGCGCGACGAGGGGAUUCCAAGUGCAUGCACUCAGUGUAUGCUGUUUUCCAGUUCAAAAAGCUGGGAGAGUAAGGGCUGGGUAAGACUGGUGCCAGCCGCCGCGGUAAUACCAGCGGCCCGAGUGGUGAUCGUAAUUAUUGGGCCUAAAGCGUCCGUAGCCGGCUCGGUAAAUCUCUGGGUAAAUCGAUAGGCUUAACUUAUCGAAUUCUGGGGGAGACUGUCGGGCUUGGGACCGGGAGAGGUCGGAGGUACUCCAGGGGUAGGGGUGAAAUCCUGUAAUCCUUGGGGGACCACCGGUGGCGAAGGCGUCCGACCAGAACGGGUCCGACGGUAAGGGACGAAGCCCUGGGGCGCAAACCGGAUUAGAUACCCCGGGUAGUCCAGGGUGUAAACGCUGUGCGCUUGGUGUUGGGGGUCCUACGAGGGCACCCAGUGCCGGAGAGAAGUUGUUAAGCGCACCGCCUGGGGAUUACGGUCGCAAGACUGAACUUAGA
RNAcentral lists this ribosomal RNA (730 nucleotides) under uncultured archaeon. RNAcentral's name for it is "bacterial SSU rRNA". It matches the Rfam family "Archaeal small subunit ribosomal RNA", at positions 128 to 860 of the family's 1478-position model. The record is from RNAcentral.